This 466-nucleotide ribosomal RNA is filed under the name uncultured bacterium. RNAcentral describes it as "partial 16S ribosomal RNA". It matches the Rfam family "Bacterial small subunit ribosomal RNA", at positions 28 to 507 of the family's 1533-position model. The record is from RNAcentral.
GACGAACGCUGGCGGCGCGCCUAACACAUGCAAGUCGAACGAGCGAGAGGAGGUUUACUUUCUCAAGCGAGUGGCGAACGGGUGAGUAACGCGUGAGGAACCUGCCUCAAAGAGGGGGACAACAGUUGGAAACGACUGCUAAUACCGCAUAAGCCCACGACCCGGCAUCGGGUAGAGGGAAAAGGAGCAAUCCGCUUUGAGAUGGCCUCGCGUCCGAUUAGCUAGUUGGUGAGGUAAUGGCCCACCAAGGCGACGAUCGGUAGCCGGACUGAGAGGUUGAACGGCCACAUUGGGACUGCGACACGGCCCAGACUCCUACGGGAGGCAGCAGUGGGGAAUAUUGCACAAUGGGGGAAACCCUGAUGCAGCGACGCCGCGUGGAGGAAGAAGGUCUUCGGAUUGUAAACUCCUGUUGUUGAGGAAGAUAAUGACGGUACUCAACAAGGAAGUGACGGCUAACUACGUG